ACAAAUCUUAAAAUCAGACCACUGCAUCACAAAACUGUGCAAGAAAAGCAACGGCCAAGGGACCACUGUGCAGCUAAUGAAGAAAAGACUUGUUGAGUUUCCCGAAUAUCUCUGAAAAUAGCAAGCGGGACAGGAGGUUGGCAGUAUGUUUAGUGCCACUCCUAUUUGGGACUCCCUAAAGGCAGAAGAAAAUUCCAGAAUGGGAAACCAAUUAGAAGGAUGAGAAAAGAUGUGGAAAUUUCAAAAAGU
This 249-nucleotide long non-coding RNA is filed under the name Homo sapiens (human). Its description in RNAcentral is "HSALNT0122423". The record is from RNAcentral. Lineage: Eukaryota; Metazoa; Chordata; Mammalia; Primates; Hominidae.